AGAGUUUGAUCCUGGCUCAGGAUGAACGCUGGCGGCGUGCUUAACACAUGCAAGUCGAACGGUGAACACGGAGCUUGCUCUGUGGGAUCAGUGGCGAACGGGUGAGUAACACGUGAGCAACCUGCCCCUGACUCUGGGAUAAGCGCUGGAAACGGCGUCUAAUACUGGAUACGAGUAGCGACCGCAUGGUCAGUUACUGGAAAGAUUUUUUGGUUGGGGAUGGGCUCGCGGCCUAUCAGCUUGUUGGUGAGGUAACGGCUCACCAAGGCGUCGACGGGUAGCCGGCCUGAGAGGGUGACCGGCCACACUGGGACUGAGACACGGCCCAGACUCCUACGGGAGGCAGCAGUGGGGAAUAUUGCACAAUGGGCGGAAGCCUGAUGCAGCAACGCCGCGUGAGGGAUGACGGCCUUCGGGUUGUAAACCUCUUUUAGCAGGGAAGAAGCGAAAGUGACGGUACCUGCAGAAAAAGCGCCGGCUAACUACGUGCCAGCAGCCGCGGUAAUACGUAGGGCGCAAGCGUUAUCCGGAAUUAUUGGGCGUAAAGAGCUCGUAGGCGGUUUGUCGCGUCUGCUGUGAAAUCCCGAGGCUCAACCUCGGGCCUGCAGUGGGUACGGGCAGACUAGAGUGCGGUAGGGGAGAUUGGAAUUCCUGGUGUAGCGGUGGAAUGCGCAGAUAUCAGGAGGAACACCGAUGGCGAAGGCAGAUCUCUGGGCCGUAACUGACGCUGAGGAGCGAAAGGGUGGGGAGCAAACAGGCUUAGAUACCCUGGUAGUCCACCCCGUAAACGUUGGGAACUAGUUGUGGGGUCCAUUCCACGGAUUCCGUGACGCAGCUAACGCAUAAGU
Molecule: ribosomal RNA, 848 nt
Filed under: Microbacterium foliorum
Lineage: Bacteria; Bacillati; Actinomycetota; Actinomycetes; Micrococcales; Microbacteriaceae
Description: bacterial SSU rRNA
Rfam family: Bacterial small subunit ribosomal RNA
Source: RNAcentral